UGCCCCAUAGCUCAACUGGCAGAGCAUCCGACUGUUAAUCGGAGGGAUGUAGGUUCAAAUCCUACUAGGGCAGCCA
This 76-nucleotide transfer RNA is filed under the name Leptolyngbya sp. FACHB-1624. RNAcentral's name for it is "tRNA-Asn". It matches the Rfam family "tRNA". From Rfam's summary of the family: Transfer RNA (tRNA) molecules are approximately 80 nucleotides in length. RNAcentral also lists the same sequence under 4 other names. Lineage: Bacteria; Bacillati; Cyanobacteriota; Cyanophyceae; Leptolyngbyales; Leptolyngbyaceae. The record is from RNAcentral.